Molecule: ribosomal RNA, 253 nt
Filed under: uncultured bacterium
Lineage: Bacteria
Description: partial 16S ribosomal RNA
Rfam family: Bacterial small subunit ribosomal RNA
Source: RNAcentral
UACGAAGGGGGCUAGCGUUGUUCGGAAUUACUGGGCGUAAAGCGCACGUAGGCGGCUACUCAAGUCAGAGGUGAAAGCCUGGAGCUCAACUCCAGAACUGCCUUUGAAACUAGGUAGCUUGAACACGGGAGAGGUGAGUGGAAUUCCGAGUGUAGAGGUGAAAUUCGUAGAUAUUCGGAAGAACACCAGUGGCGAAGGCGGCUCACUGGACUGGUAUUGACGCUGAGGUGCGAAAGCGUGGGGAGCAAACAGG